Molecule: small nuclear RNA, 301 nt
Filed under: Microtus ochrogaster (prairie vole)
Lineage: Eukaryota; Metazoa; Chordata; Mammalia; Rodentia; Cricetidae
Description: 7SK RNA (ENSMOCG00000005841.1)
Rfam family: 7SK RNA
About the family: 7SK was discovered as an abundant small nuclear RNA in the mid-70s but a possible function has only recently been suggested. Two independent studies have found that 7SK RNA binds the CDK9/cyclin T complex (known as elongation factor P-TEFb).
Source: RNAcentral
AGAAGUGAGGGUUAUCUGUCACCUGCUGUUGAUCUCCAGGGUUGAUCUGGCUGAUCUGGCUGGCUAAGCAGAUGUCCUCUUCUUUCCUCAUUGUUCCAUGGGCAACCCUCCUGAGGACCGGUGUCAGGACAUCCCUCCUGAGGACCGGUGUCAGGGCAUCCCUCCUGAGGACCAGUGUCAGGGCAAGGGUAUAUGAGUAACUGUACUCCCCUGUUAGAACUUCCAGACACGUUCUCAAGAAAGUUAGUUGAGCGAGCCAAGGAGAGCAGCCCAAGUAAGCAUUACUGCACUGUGUCUCUGC